UACGUAGGUGGCAAGCGUUGUCCGGAUUUAUUGGGCGUAAAGGGAGCGCAGGUGGUUUCUUAAGUCUGAUGUGAAAGCCCACGGCUUAACCGUGGAGGGUCAUUGGAAACUGGGAAACUUGAGUACAGAAGAGGAAUGUGGAACUCCAUGUGUAGCGGUGGAAUGCGUAGAUAUAUGGAAGAACACCAGUGGCGAAGGCGACAUUCUGGUCUGUUACUGACACUGAGGCUCGAAAGCGUGGGGAGCAAACAGG
This 253-nucleotide non-coding RNA is filed under the name uncultured bacterium. Its description in RNAcentral is "partial 16S ribosomal RNA". It matches the Rfam family "Bacterial small subunit ribosomal RNA", at positions 524 to 776 of the family's 1533-position model. The record is from RNAcentral. RNAcentral also lists the same sequence under 3 other names.